This 2480-nucleotide ribosomal RNA is filed under the name Streptomyces albidoflavus. Its description in RNAcentral is "partial 23S ribosomal RNA". It matches the Rfam family "Bacterial large subunit ribosomal RNA", at positions 587 to 2925 of the family's 2925-position model. Lineage: Bacteria; Bacillati; Actinomycetota; Actinomycetes; Kitasatosporales; Streptomycetaceae. The record is from RNAcentral.
UGCGUCGUGACUGCGUGCCUUUUGAAGAAUGAGCCUGCGAGUUAGCGGUGUGUAGCGAGGUUAACCCGUGUGGGGAAGCCGUAGCGAAAGCGAGUCCGAACAGGGCGAUUCGAGUUGCACGCUCUAGACCCGAAGCGGAGUGAUCUAGCCAUGGGCAGGUUGAAGCGGCUGUAAGAGGUCGUGGAGGACCGAACCCACCAGGGUUGAAAACCUGGGGGAUGACCUGUGGUUAGGGGUGAAAGGCCAAUCAAACUCCGUGAUAGCUGGUUCUCCCCGAAAUGCAUUUAGGUGCAGCGUCGUGUGUUUCUUGCCGGAGGUAGAGCACUGGAUAGGCGAUGGGCCCUACCGGGUUACUGACCUUAGCCAAACUCCGAAUGCCGGUAAGUGAGAGCGCGGCAGUGAGACUGUGGGGGAUAAGCUCCAUGGUCGAGAGGGAAACAGCCCAGAGCAUCGACUAAGGCCCCUAAGCGUACGCUAAGUGGGAAAGGAUGUGGAGUCGCAGAGACAACCAGGAGGUUGGCUUAGAAGCAGCCACCCUUGAAAGAGUGCGUAAUAGCUCACUGGUCUAGUGAUUCCGCGCCGACAAUGUAGCGGGGCUCAAGCGUACCGCCGAAGUCGUGUCAUUGCAGCAUGAGGGCCAACGCCCGCUGUGAUGGGUAGGGGAGCGUCGUGUGCCGGGUGAAGCAGCCGUGGAAGCGAGUUGUGGACGGUUCACGAGUGAGAAUGCAGGCAUGAGUAGCGAUUCACACGUGAGAAACGUGUGCGCCGAUUGACUAAGGGUUCCUGGGUCAAGCUGAUCUGCCCAGGGUAAGUCGGGACCUAAGGCGAGGCCGACAGGCGUAGUCGAUGGAUAACCGGUUGAUAUUCCGGUACCCGCUGUGAAGCGUCAAACAUUGAAUCCAGUGAUGCUAAGCCCGUGAAGCCGUUCCGGACCCUUCGGGGAAUGGAAAGUGGUGGAGCCGGUGGCCCGAGCUGGUAGUAGGUGAGUGAUGGGGUGACGCAGGAAGGUAGUCCAUCCCGGGCGGUGGUUGUCCCGGGGUAAGGGUGUAGGCCGUGCGAUAGGUAAAUCCGUCGUACAUGUGGCUGAGACCUGAUGCCGAGCCGAUUGUGGUGAAGUGGAUGAUCCUAUGCUGUCGAGAAAAGCCUCUAGCGAGUUUCAUGGCGGCCCGUACCCUAAACCGACUCAGGUGGUCAGGUAGAGAAUACCGAGGCGUUCGGGUGAACUAUGGUUAAGGAACUCGGCAAAAUGCCCCCGUAACUUCGGGAGAAGGGGGGCCAUGUCUGGUGAUGAGUCUUGCACUCUGAGCUGGGUGUGGCCGCAGAGACCAGCGAGAAGCGACUGUUUACUAAAAACACAGGUCCGUGCGAAGCCGUAAGGCGAUGUAUACGGACUGACGCCUGCCCGGUGCUGGAACGUUAAGGGGACCGGUUAGUCACAUUUCGGUGUGGCGAAGCUGAGAACUUAAGCGCCAGUAAACGGCGGUGGUAACUAUAACCAUCCUAAGGUAGCGAAAUUCCUUGUCGGGUAAGUUCCGACCUGCACGAAUGGCGUAACGACUUCUCGACUGUCUCAACCAUAGGCCCGGUGAAAUUGCAUUACGAGUAAAGAUGCUCGUUUCGCGCAGCAGGACGGAAAGACCCCGGGACCUUUACUACAGUUUGAUAUUGGUGUUCGGUUCGGCUUGUGUAGGAUAGGUGGGAGACUGUGAAGCAUGCACGCCAGUGUGUGUGGAGUCGUCGUUGAAAUACCACUCUGGUCGUGCUGGAUGUCUAACCUGGGUCCGUGAUCCGGAUCAGGGACAGUGUCUGAUGGGUAGUUUAACUGGGGCGGUUGCCUCCUAAAGAGUAACGGAGGCGCCCAAAGGUUCCCUCAGCCUGGUUGGUAAUCAGGUGUUGAGUGUAAGUGCACAAGGGAGCUUGACUGUGAGACCGACGGGUCGAGCAGGGACGAAAGUCGGGACUAGUGAUCCGGCGGUGGCUUGUGGAAGCGCCGUCGCUCAACGGAUAAAAGGUACCCCGGGGAUAACAGGCUGAUCUUCCCCAAGAGUCCAUAUCGACGGGAUGGUUUGGCACCUCGAUGUCGGCUCGUCGCAUCCUGGGGCUGGAGUCGGUCCCAAGGGUUGGGCUGUUCGCCCAUUAAAGCGGUACGCGAGCUGGGUUUAGAACGUCGUGAGACAGUUCGGUCCCUAUCCGCUGUGCGCGUAGGAAUAUUGAGAAGGGCUGUCCCUAGUACGAGAGGACCGGGACGGACGAACCUCUGGUGUGCCAGUUGUUCUGCCAAGGGCAUGGCUGGUUGGCUACGUUCGGGAGGGAUAACCGCUGAAAGCAUCUAAGCGGGAAGCCUGCUUCGAGAUGAGUAUUCCCACCUCCUUGAGAGGGUAAGGCUCCCAGUAGACGACUGGGUUGAUAGGCCGGAUAUGGAAGCCCUGUAAGGGGUGGAGUUGACCGGUACUAAUAGGCCGAGGGCUUGUCCUCAGUUG